CAGCAGCCGCGGUAAUACGGAGGGAGCUAGCGUUGUUCGGAAUUACUGGGCGUAAAGCGCGCGUAGACGGUUACUCAAGUCAGAGGUGAAAGCCCGGGGCUCAACCCCGGAACUGCCUUUGAAACUAGGUGACUAGAAUCUUGGAGAGGUCAGUGGAAUUCCGAGUGUAGAGGUGAAAUUCGUAGAUAUUCGGAAGAACACCAGUGGCGAAGGCGACUGACUGGACAAGUAUUGACGCUGAGGUGCGAAAGCGUGGGGAGCAAACAGGAUUAGAUACCCCCGUAGUCCCUGUCUCUUAUAC
This 301-nucleotide ribosomal RNA is filed under the name uncultured bacterium. Its description in RNAcentral is "partial 16S ribosomal RNA". It matches the Rfam family "Bacterial small subunit ribosomal RNA", at positions 509 to 807 of the family's 1533-position model. The record is from RNAcentral.